RNAcentral lists this ribosomal RNA (460 nucleotides) under uncultured bacterium. RNAcentral describes it as "partial 16S ribosomal RNA". It matches the Rfam family "Bacterial small subunit ribosomal RNA", at positions 338 to 795 of the family's 1533-position model. The record is from RNAcentral.
CCUACGGGAGGCAGCAGUGGGGAAUAUUGGGCAAUGGAGGAAACUCUGACCCAGCCAAGUCGCGUGAGGGAUGAAGGUUCUAUGGAUCGUAAACCUCUUUUAUAAGGAAAUAAAGUGAGGGACGUGUCCCUUUUUGUAUGUACCUUAUGAAUAAGGAUCGGCUAACUCCGUGCCAGCAGCCGCGGUAAUACGGAGGAUCCGAGCGUUAUCCGGAUUUAUUGGGUUUAAAGGGUGCGUAGGUGGCCUGUUAAGUCAGCUGUGAAAGUCUGUGGCUCAACCAUAGAAUUGCCGUUGAACCUGGGAGCCUUGAGGAUGUGUGAGGAAGGCGGAAUGCGUGGUGUAGCGGUGAAAUGCUUAGAUAUCACGCAGAACCCCGAUUGCGAAGGCAGCCUGCCAAGCCAUGACUGACGCUGAUGCACGAAAGCGUGGGGAUCAAACAGGAUUAGAUACCCCGGUAGUC